GACGAACGCUGGCGGCGUGCUUAACACAUGCAAGUCGAACGGAAAGGCCCUGCUUUUGUGGGGUGCUCGAGUGGCGAACGGGUGAGUAACACGUGAGUAACCUGCCCUUGACUUUGGGAUAACUUCAGGAAACUGGGGCUAAUACCGGAUAGGAGCUCCUGUUGCAUGGUGGGGGUUGGAAAGUUUCGGCGGUUGGGGAUGGACUCGCGGCUUAUCAGCUUGUUGGUGGGGUAGUGGCUUACCAAGGCUUUGACGGGUAGCCGGCCUGAGAGGGUGACCGGCCACAUUGGGACUGAGAUACGGCCCAGACUCCUACGGGAGGCAGCAGUGGGGAAUAUUGCACAAUGGGCGGAAGCCUGAUGCAGCAACGCCGCGUGCGGGAUGACGGCCUUCGGGUUGUAAACCGCUUUCGCCUGUGACGAAGCGUGAGUGACGGUAAUGGGUAAAGGAGCACCGGCUAACUACGU
Molecule: ribosomal RNA, 467 nt
Filed under: uncultured bacterium
Lineage: Bacteria
Description: partial 16S ribosomal RNA
Rfam family: Bacterial small subunit ribosomal RNA
Source: RNAcentral